Long non-coding RNA from Haliotis rubra (blacklip abalone), 710 nucleotides. RefSeq lists it as uncharacterized. The record is from RefSeq and is a predicted model, not a curated record. Lineage: Eukaryota; Metazoa; Mollusca; Gastropoda; Lepetellida; Haliotidae. The transcript is spliced from 2 exons.
AUCAAUAUUACUGCACGCUCUCCGAUACACACACUUGUUGCUCUUAGCACUGACUCGUAAAAAAGGAACUACAUAACAGACAAAUGAUUAGUCCAUCCAUGGUAGUCUUUCAUCUCUGUUUCAUGAAAAUAGUCAUCGCUGAGAGCUGAAUGUAUGGCUUUAGUGCAACAGCUUAUAGGUUGUGAUUGAAACCCGUGAGCAGACAGUCAUAAGUCGAUAACAGUUUGGUGGCAGCGACGGUGACCAGCUGGAUGUUCAACAGAUGACAGGGGAGGAUACUGGGCACUGGGGCCUCCAUCAACAGAUAAACCACAAACAUUAUACUGGGAAAGGGUCAUUCACGCUGGUGUGCAUGACACCAUAGGUUCAUCAGCCUGAACUGGGGAUUGUACAGCCUCUUCACUCAACUCUGUUCCGAGUCCGAGGUGACAGAUACAGUGUGAUCAAGAGGAAAGAGAUAAUCCAGCUAGAGUUACCUCCCAUCAAUGUUAUCCCAACUCUAACUGGCCGACUGUUCCUACAUGUGCAGCAACUGGGGUGACAUUGCUAUACACCUGUAUUUACAGAAUACUGCCCUUGUAGGCCAGUAGAAACUGCACUGAACCUAGACAUUCCUGAUAACAGGCCAAUUUUUUUUUUUUCAUGCUUUGAUGUUUACUGAUCACAAAACAAGAAAAAUCAAGAAUGGGAAAUUAUUUUUUAUAACAAGA